RNAcentral lists this ribosomal RNA (640 nucleotides) under Escherichia coli. RNAcentral's name for it is "bacterial SSU rRNA". It matches the Rfam family "Bacterial small subunit ribosomal RNA", at positions 85 to 722 of the family's 1533-position model. The record is from RNAcentral. Lineage: Bacteria; Pseudomonadati; Pseudomonadota; Gammaproteobacteria; Enterobacterales; Enterobacteriaceae.
UCGCUGACGAGUGGCGGACGGGUGAGUAAUGUCUGGGAAACUGCCUGAUGGAGGGGGAUAACUACUGGAAACGGUAGCUAAUACCGCAUAACGUCGCAAGACCAAAGAGGGGGACCUUCGGGCCUCUUGCCAUCGGAUGUGCCCAGAUGGGAUUAGCUAGUAGGUGGGGUAACGGCUCACCUAGGCGACGAUCCCUAGCUGGUCUGAAAGGAUGACCAGCCACACUGGAACUGAGACACGGUCCAGACUCCUACGGGAGGCAGCAGUGGGGAAUAUUGCACAAUGGGCGCAAGCCUGAUGCAGCCAUGCCGCGUGUAUGAAGAAGGCCUUCGGGUUGUAAAGUACUUUCAGCGGGGAGGAAGGGAGUAAAGUUAAUACCUUUGCUCAUUGACGUUACCCGCACAAGAAGCACCGGCUAACUCCGUGCCACCAGCCGCGGUAAUACGGAGGGUGCAAGCGUUAAUCGGAAUUACUGGGCGUAAAGCGCACGCAGGCGGUUUGUUAAGUCANAUGUGAAAUCCCCGGGCUCAACCUGGGAACUGCAUCUGAUACUGGCAAGCUUGAGUCUCGUAGAGGGGGGUAGAAUUCCAGGUGUAGCGGUGAAUGCGUGGAGAUCUGGAGGAAUACCGGUGGUGAAGGA